This 253-nucleotide ribosomal RNA is filed under the name uncultured bacterium. RNAcentral describes it as "partial 16S ribosomal RNA". It matches the Rfam family "Bacterial small subunit ribosomal RNA", at positions 524 to 776 of the family's 1533-position model. The record is from RNAcentral.
UACGGAGGGGGCUAGCGUUGUUCGGAAUUACUGGGCGUAAAGCGCACGUAGGCGGCUUCGCAAGUCAGAGGUGAAAGCCUGGGGCUCAACCCCGGAACUGCCUUUGAGACUGCGUCGCUCGAAUCCGGGAGAGGCGGGUGGAAUUCUGGGUGUAGAGGUGAAAUUCGUAGAUAUUCGGAAGAACACCAGUGGCGAAGGCGGCCCGCUGGACAGGCACUGACGCUGAGGUGCGAAAGCGUGGGGAGCAAACAGG